Oncorhynchus tshawytscha (Chinook salmon) is the source of this 1846-nucleotide long non-coding RNA. The record is from Ensembl. Lineage: Eukaryota; Metazoa; Chordata; Actinopteri; Salmoniformes; Salmonidae.
GUUUUUUCCCACAAAAUAGCUUUAUUAAAGACAGAAAUACUCCUCAGUUUCAUUAUCUUUCCAGGUGGCUGGUCUCAGACGAACCCGCAGGUGAAGAAGCCAGAUGUGGAGGUCCUGGGUUGGCGAUGGUCUAUUUGUGGUCUGCGUUGGCCAUAGUCCCCGCCUGCUUCAAGGAGACCACCAUCGUCCCAGUGUCCAAGAAAAACAAGAUGAUGUGUCCAAAUGACUAUCACCCCGUCAUACUCAUCCCAGUCAUCAUGAAGUGUCAAAAGAGGCUGGUCAUGGCCCACAUCAAGGCCAGCAUGCCAGCAGUCUCUGUAUCGCAACACAUGUUCUAUGGGGAUCACCAGUCUUUGUCUGUUUGGUACAAAUACAACAUGUAGCACCUCAGAGCCCAACUGCUAGAGCGGACAAGCAGUGUUCAACAUCAGUAGCAUCAAGCACAAGGGCUGCCUGGUCACACAUUUCUGCAACACCACAUCCACUUCUUCCAUAUUCCUGGGAGUCGGCUACAUCGUCUCAUAGACCUGCUCCAGCACCAAUCUGCAACGGGGUUGGCUCCGUACAACUACCUCUCACAGUGGCCCUUGGUGCAGCCCUGGUGGCCAUCUGGAGCACCUUAGCCUAGACAAACCAUUCACAAUAAGGAUACCUCCUCCAUAGGUUUCCAUGUGUUGUUAUAGUUCUUAAAUACAUAAAAUGUACUAAAACAAGUAAUAUUCUGAAAAAGACAGCAAGUUUUAUGCAGGCUAGUUUCACUAAGCUUUAGUUCUGCUUUAGUUCUGUGUAUUCCGGGUUUCCAAGCUGGUUACGGGUGCACCUCAGCCACGCUCAAGGUACUAAACGAUAUAACCGCCAUCGAUAAAAGACAGUACUAUGUCUUCAUCGACCUGGCCAAGGCUUUCGACUCUGUCAAUCACCGCAUUCGCAUCGGCAGACUCAACAGCAUUGGUUUCUCAAAUGACUGCCAACUACUUCUCAGACAGAGUUCUGUGUGUCAAAUCGGAGGGCCUGUUGUCUGGACCUUUUAAUUUUUUUAUUUUACCUUUAUUUAACUAGGCAAGUCAGUUAAGAACAAAUUCUUAUUUGGCAGUCUCUAUGGGGGUACCACAGGGUUCAAUUCUCGGGCCGACUCUUUUCGGUGUAUAUAUCAACAAUGUCGCUCUUGCUGCAGGUGAUUCCCUGAUCCACCUCUACGCAGUCGACAUUUUGUAUACAUCUGGCCCUUCUCUGGACACUGUGUUAACAAACCUCCAGAUGAGCUUCAAUGCCAUACAACACUCCUUCCGUGGCCUCCCAACUGCUCUAAAACGCUAGUAAAAGCAAAUGCUUGUUUUUCAACUAGCAUCACUACUCUGGACGGUUCUAACUUAGAAUAUGUGGACAACUACAAAUACCUAGGUGUCUGGAUAGACUGUAAACUCUCCUUCCAGACUCAUAUUAAACAUCUCCAAUCCAAAAUUAAAUCUAGAUCUAAAUCUAAAACUGACUAUCCUACCGAUCCUCGACGAUGUCAUUUUCAAAAUAGCUUCCAAUACUAUACUCAGCAAACUGGAUGCAGUCUAUCACAGUGUCAUCCGUUUUGUUACCAAAGCCCCAUAUACCACCCACCACUGCGACUUGUAUGCUCUAGUCGGCUGGCCCUCACUACAUAUUCGUCGCCAGACCCACUGGCUCCAGGUCAAUUAUAAGUCGAUGCUAGGUAAAGCUCCGCUUUAUUUCAGCUCACUGGUCACGAUAACAACACCCACCCAUUGCACACGCUCCAGCAGGUGUAUCUCACUGGUCAUCCCCAAAGCAAACACCUCCUUUGGCCACCUUUCCUUCCAGUUCUCUGCUGCCAAUG